This 75-nucleotide transfer RNA is filed under the name Bacillus cereus. Its description in RNAcentral is "tRNA-Gly". It matches the Rfam family "tRNA". From Rfam's summary of the family: Transfer RNA (tRNA) molecules are approximately 80 nucleotides in length. Their secondary structure includes four short double-helical elements and three loops (D, anti-codon, and T loops). Lineage: Bacteria; Bacillati; Bacillota; Bacilli; Caryophanales; Bacillaceae. The record is from RNAcentral.
GCGGAAGUAGUUCAGUGGUAGAAUACAACCUUGCCAAGGUUGGGGUCGCGGGUUCGAAUCCCGCCUUCCGCUCCA